RNAcentral lists this ribosomal RNA (305 nucleotides) under uncultured bacterium. RNAcentral's name for it is "bacterial SSU rRNA". It matches the Rfam family "Bacterial small subunit ribosomal RNA", at positions 341 to 660 of the family's 1533-position model. The record is from RNAcentral.
UUUCCACGCAGCAGUGGGGAAUAUUGGACAAUGGGGGGAACCCUGAUCCAGCGACGCCGCGUGAGUGAAGAAGUAUUUCGGUAUGUAAAGCUCUAUCAGCAGGGAAGAAAGAAAUGACGGUACCUGACUAAGAAGCCCCGGCUAACUACGUGCCAGCAGCCGCGGUAAUACGUAGGGGGCAAGCGUUAUCCGGAUUUACUGGGUGUAAAGGGAGCGUAGACGGCGAUGCAAGUCUGAAGUGAAAGGCGGGGGCCCAACCCCCGGACUGCUUUGGAAACUGUAUAGCUGGAGUGCAGGAGAGGUAA